This 120-nucleotide ribosomal RNA is filed under the name Pteropus alecto (black flying fox). Lineage: Eukaryota; Metazoa; Chordata; Mammalia; Chiroptera; Pteropodidae. The record is from RNAcentral.
GUCUACGGCCAUGCCACCCUCAAACACGCCCGAUCCCGUCCGAUCUGGGAAGCUAAGCAGGGUCGGGCCUGGUUAGUACUUGAAUGGGAGACCACCUAGGAAGACCAGGUGCUGUAGGCG